RNAcentral lists this long non-coding RNA (329 nucleotides) under Homo sapiens (human). Its description in RNAcentral is "HSALNT0360048". Lineage: Eukaryota; Metazoa; Chordata; Mammalia; Primates; Hominidae. The record is from RNAcentral.
AUCCUUCCUCCCAGAUUCUUUUCUCUGCUGCAGUCAAUUCCCCCUUUUUCCAUUUGUAGAGACAAAAGGGAACAUUCUAUAACCACUGGCCUCUGUCCAGGAACACAGGAGAAAAUGAAGCAAGGCAAACAACAGAGAAAAGUGAACAACAAAAGAACAAACUCAAACGAAACUGCUUAACAAUCCUACAGUGCAGACCUGGCAGAAAUAUAAAGCCCACAGUCAUGUCCUCCAGACUGGCUCUUCUGUCUGCUGAUUAGCUUUGAUACCAUCUUCAAUAGUUAGCCAGUGACUCCAGUGUCAGCAAAUUUCCUUCUUCUAUUAGAGAC